Molecule: RNA transcript, 1926 nt
Organism: Acyrthosiphon pisum (pea aphid)
Lineage: Eukaryota; Metazoa; Arthropoda; Insecta; Hemiptera; Aphididae
Gene: moody
Gene name: G-protein coupled receptor moody
Exons: 10
Source: RefSeq, a predicted model, not a curated record
UAGCUUAGUUUUUAUGCCGUUUGCACAUACGAAAAAUUCAAUGUUAUGGUUCUGUAAUGGAUAAACCGUGUGAAAAUAAGAUUAUUAGACAAAACCCGUUACAAGACGACAGUGAAAAAACCAAACUAAGUUUUUUUCCUAAUAUUCCUGCCGCGGAGCUUUAUACGUGUAAGCCUUCAAAAUUUCCAUGAAAUUGAAAAUAUUACGAUGAGCAAACCUGAACUUCACAUUACAUUUUGCGUGGAAAGAUUCGCAGCAUUUCGUGGUGUGAUCGCCUGUACUCUACAUAUCAACCCACUUGUCCAGGGGAAAGUGUGAGUCAUCUAAGUAAUUGGCACAAAUGUAGACAAAAAGUACAUUUGAAAAUUAUGAAAAUCAUAUAUAUUUUUAUUCAGUACUUCAUUAAGUGAUUAUAAUUAAUUACAAUGUCAAGCUCAAACCAAUCAAUGGGAUUCGAACCAUGGCUAAAAGAGAAUCAAACAAUUAGGUACGCAGCGGCGUUCAUAACGUUGCUUAUAAUGUGUAUUGGAAUCGUAGGUAAUAGUUUGACUAUAUUAGUAAUACUAAAAAGUCCACGGAUUCGAAAUGUAGCUUCUGCAUUUAUUAUCAGCCUAGGUGCAGCUGAUUUGUUAUUCUGCAUAGCCGUAUUGCCAUUCAAUGCUUCAAGAUUCUUAAAUAUUAAUUGGGUACAAUACCCAAUACUAUGUUCAAUGGUACCAUUUUUCCAAUACGGAAAUAUCGGUAUAUCACUGCUAUUUAUUACUAUGAUAACCAUAAAUAGGUAUAUAAUGAUCGUUCAUUCAAGCUUAUAUAGUAUAGUAUAUCGUCCAAUAUGGAUAACUUCCAUGAUAAUACUUUGUAUAAUUAUUUCGUUUGGCAUGCUGGUACCUACUCUUUUAGGUAAAUGGGGUAAAUUUGAAAAUGAUCCAAAAUUGGGUUCAUGUUCAAUAAUAUCAGAUGAAUCUGGUCGAUCUUCGAAAUUUGCCCUUUUCAUCACUGGGUUCAUCAUACCGUGUAUUGUAAUUGUUUGCUGUUAUACUAGUAUAUUUUGGGUUGUCCGUAAGUCAGAACAAAGAAUGCGAAGACAUCAAUUAUCCACCCAAAGUGAUCCAACAGUAACAAAUAUGCAGUCAAUAAAAAGAAAACUUAGUGAAUGGAGGAUAACUAAAAUGGUAUUGGCUAUAUUUUUAUCAUUUGUACUUUGCUAUUUACCAAUUACAAUCACAAAAACCUCAGAUCCAGAUGUCCAAUACCCAGCUCUUCUCUUGAUUGCAUAUAUUAUGGUUUACGCGUCAGCAUGCGUCAAUCCAAUCAUAUACGUCAUAAUGAAUAAACAGUACAGAAAAGCAUUUGAAUCAGUUCUAAGUGUUGGAUGUUGUGAAAAAGCUACAAAACGAGUACCUGUUUUGAGAUCCAUAUCGAAACGUCUACAGCCACACGGUAACUUGACAUCAUCAACUGGCAUGCGAACAAUAAGCCCGGGUUAAGGGAGAGUGCCUUAAGAUAUUGGAUUGUUUUUAGGAGCUUCAAAUCCUGCAAUAGGAAAAAAUCAAGAAGACCGUGGAUUUGGGACAACUGUAUCACAUGUGUCAUCAAUUGCUCUGGAAUCAUUGGAUUACAAUAACAGGAUUUCGAGUAUAGCUUAAUUGAACAUAAUUUUACUAAAAAGCAUUUUUAUAUUUUAGGAUUUUAAGUAUUCUUUUUAAUUCAAAUAAAUGCCUAAUAAUAUUUUCAAUGGAAAUAAUAAGAACUGUACCUAGUAUACCAGAUACUUAGUCUACAAAAUCAAACAUUUUUUUUUUUAGAAAUAUGUACGUCAUUCAUAUUUUACAUACUGGCACAACUCACAAUACAUAAUAUUCCCUAGCAUGUAUUAUGGUGACUAACAAAUUUAUAUCAUGAAUAAAUUAGUGUUGAAAAGUCUUA